This 496-nucleotide ribosomal RNA is filed under the name uncultured Gammaproteobacteria bacterium. RNAcentral's name for it is "bacterial SSU rRNA". It matches the Rfam family "Bacterial small subunit ribosomal RNA", at positions 8 to 495 of the family's 1533-position model. The record is from RNAcentral. Lineage: Bacteria; Pseudomonadati; Pseudomonadota; Gammaproteobacteria.
AGAGUUUGAUCCUGGCUCAGAUUGAACGCUGGCGGCAGGCCUAACACAUGCAAGUCGAGCGGUAACAGAUCUAGCUUGCUAGAUGCUGACGAGCGGCGGACGGGUGAGUAACGCGUAGGAAUCUACCCAGUAGCGGGGGAUAAGCCAGAGAAAUUUGGUCUAAUACCGCAUACGCCCUUCGGGGGAAAGCAGGGGCUCUUCGGACCUUGCACUAUUGGAUGAGCCUGCGUGAGAUUAGCUAGUUGGUGAGGUAAUGGCUCACCAAGGCGACGAUCUCUAGCUGGUCUGAGAGGAUGAUCAGCCACACUGGGACUGAGACACGGCCCAGACUCCUACGGGAGGCAGCAGUGGGGAAUAUUGCACAAUGGGCGAAAGCCUGAUGCAGCCAUGCCGCGUGUGUGAAGAAGGCCUUAGGGUUGUAAAGCACUUUCAGUCGUGAGGAAAGGUGUGUGCUUAAUACGUACAUACUGUGACGUUAGCGACAGAAGAAGGACCG